Molecule: ribosomal RNA, 730 nt
Filed under: uncultured haloarchaeon
Lineage: Archaea; Methanobacteriati; Methanobacteriota; Halobacteria; Halobacteriales; Halobacteriaceae
Description: bacterial SSU rRNA
Rfam family: Archaeal small subunit ribosomal RNA
Source: RNAcentral
CGCAAACGUGAGGCUAACCCUAGAUAGCAAAGAGGUACUGGAAAGUCCUCUUUGUGAAACGCUUAGGCGCCAUAGGAUGAGGCCGCGGCUGAUUAGGUCGUUGGUGAGGUAACGGCUCACCAAGCCGAUAAUCAGUAGCGGGCGUGAGAGCGCGAGCCGCCAGUCGGCUUCUGAGACAAGAAGCCGGACCCUACGGGGUGCAGCAGGCACGAAACCUUCACAAUGCACGCAAGUGCGAUGGGGGGACUCCGAGUGUGGUCUUCCCACAAGGAAGGCCACUUUUCUGCACUGUAAGGAGGUGCAGGAACAAGGGGUGGGCAAGACGGCUGCCAGCCGCCGCGGUAAUAGCCGCACCCCAAGUGGUGGUCACUAUUAUUGGGCUUAAAGUGUUCGUAGCCGGUCAUGUAAGUCCGCUGUGAAACCCAAGCGCUCAACGUUUGGAUGCGCAGCGGAUACUGCAUGACUAGGGACCGGACGGUGCUGAGGCUAUUCCAGGGGGAGGAGUGAAAUCCUAAAAUCCCUGGAGGAGCACCUGUGGCGAAAGCGCUCAGCAAGGACGGAUCCGACGGUGAGGAACGAAAGCCAGGGGAGCAAAGCGGAUUAGAUACCCGCGUAGUCCUGGCCGUUAACAUUGUCCGUUUGAUGUCGGCUAACCUUCGAGGUUAGCCGGUGCCUAAGUGAAAACAUUAAACGGACCGCCUGGGUAGUACGGUCGCAAGGCGUAUACUGA